This 463-nucleotide ribosomal RNA is filed under the name Clostridioides difficile. RNAcentral describes it as "bacterial SSU rRNA". It matches the Rfam family "Bacterial small subunit ribosomal RNA", at positions 302 to 783 of the family's 1533-position model. The record is from RNAcentral. Lineage: Bacteria; Bacillati; Bacillota; Clostridia; Peptostreptococcales; Peptostreptococcaceae.
GAUCGGCCACAUUGGAACUGAGACACGGUCCAAACUCCUACGGGAGGCAGCAGUGGGGAAUAUUGCACAAUGGGCGAAAGCCUGAUGCAGCAACGCCGCGUGAGUGAUGAAGGCCUUCGGGUCGUAAAACUCUGUCCUCAAGGAAGAUAAUGACGGUACUUGAGGAGGAAGCCCCGGCUAACUACGUGCCAGCAGCCGCGGUAAUACGUAGGGGGCUAGCGUUAUCCGGAUUUACUGGGCGUAAAGGGUGCGUAGGCGGUCUUUCAAGUCAGGAGUGAAAGGCUACGGCUCAACCGUAGUAAGCUCUUGAAACUGGGAGACUUGAGUGCAGGAGAGGAGAGUGGAAUUCCUAGUGUAGCGGUGAAAUGCGUAGAUAUUAGGAGGAACACCAGUUGCGAAGGCGGCUCUCUGGACUGUAACUGACGCUGAGGCACGAAAGCGUGGGGAGCAAACAGGAUUAGAU